ACCACCGUCCCUUCAUAAGGGGUGGGACCCUGUGCACUUCCUGCCGUGAUGUCACAGGACCCUGGACAUUCUAGGGUAUCCUGGAGACCAAGGUCUUCAGGGCAUGCCGGAGGGAACAUGGCAGGAGACAGAGGAGUGACCCUGUUUGUCCUGCUGCUGUCCUGCUGGCGCCACGCGGAGCCCCAGCCCAUCAACACGAUUUCAGGUCCACGUACGGUACUGCCACCAAAUUUAAAAAAUUUUGAUGACAACGUGGCUGCACUAUUUGAUGAAAUUCUAGUCCAAGAGAUAUUGGAUCCAAGUAAUUCAUCAUUGCUUAUGACACAAAGACCACUACCAAAAUCAACGAUUAUGAAGAAAAAAAGCAAAAACCUAUACUCAAACGGAUUAUAAGAUGGAUAUUAGUAAGAAGCAUCAUAAAAAGAAAUUCUCUUCUGGGAAAGAAAAAAGGCCUUUCUUUGAUGAAGAGGAGAAAGAGACACUUUAUCAGAUUAAAAGCCUAGCAGUUCUGGAAAAAAUCAUUGACAACCUUCGAAGAGCUUUAGGUAAACGGAACUUGGGGCCAUCUUGGUGACAGGCAACACUCUCAAGCAAAGACUACAGAAGCACAGGCGUUUGUUCAAAGGAGCCAAACACCACAAGGGGAAAUAGAGCCGGAACUGAGAAGCCAAGACUGCCUGAGGGGACAUCCACUCACCCCGCCACUAGGAGGAAAAAUAAAAUAGAAUCACUAUUUUCUAUAAAGAAGAAUCUCUUUAUUCAAGGAGUGCCGAAUAAAAUGAACACAUUUAAAUAUUAA
RNA transcript from Panthera uncia (snow leopard), 799 nucleotides. It is a transcript of the gene named sperm acrosome-associated protein 7-like, with no coding region annotated. The transcript has 6 exons. NCBI's taxonomy places the organism in Eukaryota, Metazoa, Chordata, Mammalia, Carnivora, Felidae. The record is from RefSeq and is a predicted model, not a curated record.